GAUGAAGACGCAGCGAAAUGCGAUAAGUAAUGUGAAUUGCAGAAUUCAGUGAAUCAUCGAAUCUUUGAACGCACAUUGCGCCCGCCAGUAUUCUGGCGGGCAUGCCUGUUCGAGCGUCAUUUCAACCAUCAAGCCCUGCUUGCGUUGGGGUCCUGCGGCUGCCCGCAGGCCCUGAAAACCAGUGGCGGGCUCGCUAGUCACACCGAGCGCAGUAAUACAUCUCGCUUUGGGCGUGCGGCGGGUUCUUGCCGUUAAACACCCCCUUUUUACCAAGGUUGACCUCGGAUCAGAUAGGAAUACCCGCUGAACUUAAGCAUAUCAAUAAGCGGAGGA
RNAcentral lists this unclassified non-coding RNA (333 nucleotides) under soil metagenome. Its description in RNAcentral is "partial contains 5.8S ribosomal RNA, internal transcribed spacer 2, and large subunit ribosomal RNA". The stretch from base 1 to 119 matches the Rfam family "5.8S ribosomal RNA", at positions 35 to 154 of the family's 154-position model. The record is from RNAcentral.